GCAAACUUGGUCAUUUAGAGGAAGUAAAAGUCGUAACAAGGUUUCCGUAGGUGAACCUGCGGAAGGAUCAUUAUUGAGUUAUUGAGAGUAGCUUUGGUGUGCAAACACUAAACUGCUCUUACACUCUUUCACCCUUUGUUAUUUUUUCUUAGUUGCUUUGGCAGGACUUUAAUGUUCUGCCAGAGGAUACAUACCAAACCAUUUUGUUAACCAAUAAUUGGGAAACUUGUAGUCUGAUUUAGUUACUUUAAUAGUAUACAAAACUUUCAACAACGGAUCUCUUGGUUCUGGCAUCGAUGAAGAACGCAGC
RNAcentral lists this unclassified non-coding RNA (310 nucleotides) under uncultured fungus. RNAcentral's name for it is "partial contains small subunit ribosomal RNA, internal transcribed spacer 1, and 5.8S ribosomal RNA". The stretch from base 1 to 73 matches the Rfam family "Eukaryotic small subunit ribosomal RNA", at positions 1759 to 1831 of the family's 1831-position model. Lineage: Eukaryota; Fungi. The record is from RNAcentral.